This 292-nucleotide ribosomal RNA is filed under the name uncultured bacterium. RNAcentral describes it as "partial 16S ribosomal RNA". It matches the Rfam family "Bacterial small subunit ribosomal RNA", at positions 505 to 796 of the family's 1533-position model. The record is from RNAcentral.
GUGUCAGCCGCCGCGGUAAGACAGAGGGUGCAAACGUUGCUCGGAAUCACUGGGCGUAAAGGGCGUGUAGGCGGGACGGUAAGUCGGGCGUGAAAUCCCUAGGCUCAACCUAGGAACUGCACUCGAAACUACCAUUCUUGAGUGUCGGAGAGGAAAGCGGAAUUCCUGGUGUAGAGGUGAAAUUCGUAGAUAUCAGGAGGAACACCAGUGGCGAAGGCGGCUUUCUGGACGAUAACUGACGCUGAGACGCGAAAGCGUGGGGAGCAAACAGGAUUAGAUACCCGCGUAGUCC